This is a long non-coding RNA of Heterocephalus glaber (naked mole-rat), 1507 nucleotides long. The record is from Ensembl. Lineage: Eukaryota; Metazoa; Chordata; Mammalia; Rodentia; Bathyergidae.
CUUCAAUAAAACUCUUUAAGACCCACAGACCUCACACAUGGGUAAUCCAAGAGGCAGCUAGUCAGAAGAGAACUAAGAAAGGAUGCAGCUGAGUACAACAGCAGGAUGUGUUCCUGCUGUUUUGAUUUGGGUCAUGUCACCCACGAGACACACUGUAAGGAUUUCUCCUGCACAGGAUUAGAAGACUGUCAGAGAGAAUUGAAUCUAGUCUUUCCCGUUCUUUUUAGAAUAAAUACACUUAAGCUUUAGAAACAGAGUCCAUUUAAAUUAAAUUAUUAAAUAAGUAAUAGUGUGUAGGAGGUACCCCAACAACAGGAAGACUGUGAAAGUGGCCAGAAUCUAAAAGACGCUGCUGGGAAUCAUUGAUAGAGGUCGUACUUCUUCAGCACAGAUGGGGAAACUGCAUCACCAAUCAGACAGUGUCCCCCAAGUGUCCAAAGCUAGCUAUCAAGCUAGUGACAGCUCUAGAUUUCCUCUCUGUUCUAGAUUUACUCCUCUGUUCUCUGGACCUCAGUUUUGGCAUCUGUCAAAUGGAUUGUUAUGAAACACAAGUAGCAUGAGACAUGUAGAACGGCUCUGAAUUCAGAAUACAGAGGCAACCUGCAGGUUCACUAGGAAGGUAUACCACUUCCUACCCCUCGCACCAGGAGUGGGAGCUGCCAUGCUUCCAAGUUCAGCCAGGUUGACAGGUGACUGUCUGAGCCUCAAACUAAAUGUAGCUAUGAUUAAAACAUACGACUCCCUCAAUCUUGGUGUCUGGGUUGCAAUGGACUAUGUUGGGAUUUAGCUGUGAUCAGAGACAGGCUGGAUGAGGUCCUGCCCUGGGUCUAACAAAGGAAGAUGGAUGCCUGUGCAGCCUCCAACUUUGGGACUUGUAUGUCUUCAAAGUCAUUCAUGAAACAUAAAAAGUCAUUCAUGAAACCUUGUCUUCUGCAAGGUAAGCGGCCGAGGGCCCCACACAGAAGAUGGCCUGUUCCUGGUGGUGUUUAUAAAGGCCCCUCACAUUCCCUACCUUGUCGUCCUGGCUUCCCAGAGGGUCAGAGCCAAGCUGACAUGCAGUUCAUGAGUCUGUUCAACUUGAGAUCAGAUGGACACAGAAACACAGGGGAAGCCAAAUCGCAUGUUUAAACAGUUAAGAGGAAACCAGACUCAGCAAGGAACUGCAACACUGGAUUUAGCUGGGUUCCUGCCAAUCACCAAAUUGCUCCAUAGGAAUUAAUUUUCCAGAAAGGGAAACCCAUGUUGGGGGUUGGGCCGAGCAGUUGAGAUGCGGAGGGGGGAUAAAGGAAUAGAGAGAAGUAAAGUCACAGAAAGAGAAGAAAAUAACUACGGUGGCACAGGCAGAGAGGAAGAACAAAGCAGCAAACAGAACAAAAAAAAAAAAAAGAAAGAAAGAAAAUUAAAAAAAGAAGAAGAAAAGAAAGGAAAUAAAACCAGAGAAAUUGCUCAGAUUUGUAACUCUGGACUGAUAGAAACCACUGCACUUUUCUGCGUUUUUACAAUUCAC